UACGUAGGGGGCAAGCGUUAUCCGGAUUUACUGGGUGUAAAGGGAGCGUAGACGGCAGUGCAAGUCUGAAGUGAAAGCCCCGGGCUUAACCCGGGAACUGCUUUGGAAACUGUACGGCUGGAGUGCUGGAGAGGUAAGCGGAAUUCCUAGUGUAGCGGUGAAAUGCGUAGAUAUUAGGAGGAACACCAGUGGCGAAGGCGGCUUACUGGACAGUAACUGACGUUGAGGCUCGAAAGCGUGGGGAGCAAAUAGG
RNAcentral lists this ribosomal RNA (253 nucleotides) under uncultured bacterium. RNAcentral's name for it is "partial 16S ribosomal RNA". It matches the Rfam family "Bacterial small subunit ribosomal RNA", at positions 524 to 776 of the family's 1533-position model. The record is from RNAcentral.